This is a long non-coding RNA of Talpa occidentalis (Iberian mole), 1015 nucleotides long. RefSeq lists it as uncharacterized. The transcript has 7 exons. The record is from RefSeq and is a predicted model, not a curated record. NCBI's taxonomy places the organism in Eukaryota, Metazoa, Chordata, Mammalia, Eulipotyphla, Talpidae.
GCGCGGAGGCCCGGCUAGCCCGGCCGGCUUCGUCACGUGACACCCCUUCCCCACUCCCUGAGCAUUUCUAAGGCUCCAAGCGUGGAAUAAAGAAGCGUCCUCCCCAACGUACGAUUUUCCCGUAGUCACAUCAACCGUGGGAGAGAAAAAGGACGGGAAAUAAUAUAUUCUCUUUGCUACAAAAGAGGAAAACAGAGGGCCGAGGCAUGGAGCCCCUCGCCUGGGAGCGCAGGAAGCCGCCCAGGACCAAUCCUUGAGAUUAACACAUGAAAUUGAGACAAGGAGAACUGGUGGAAGAUAUAUAUCAGGAAUCCAUAGACUCCAAGAUUCCCUGCCUUACUGAUCUGUCCAUCUCUAGAGGCUGGACCUAUCAGCUGGAAUAGUGGUCCCUGGACUAUCCAUGUGACCUGAGCUUCCUCACAGCAUGGCAACUGAGUUUUAAAGGUGACAUUUUAAAAAAUUAUCGAUAGACAUGAAUUUAUUCUACACGAAACUCCUCUUUAUGCUCUGAAUCUGCAAUCUUGACCAACUGGAAAAGGAAGUGUUAAGGAAACACAACCUCAGUGUAUCAGGGCUUUUGAUAGUUCUGAAGAAUAAUGUUCAGAUUAUUUGGAGACAUUAAGGGUUUGUCUGAUAUUUUCUCUAGAUUAGACCGUGGUUAUGGGUUUUAAAGAAGAAUACCAAAGAGGUUUUGGUUCAGAAAGCAUCUCAGGAUCUCAUUGUGGCCGAUUCAAGGAAAGCACUUGCCCCCAAUAGUCCUUACAACCAGAAGUCAUGGGAUCCAAUUCUGCCCAAUGAGAUGCACGAGGAAGUCUACUGGGUGAAGAUUUGCCAGAUUCAGCUGACUUAUGCCUCUUGCCUUUUCCCCUUCUUUCUCUCUGGGGUCUGCACCCACAUUCUAGGAAUGGCAGACAGUCAGAAGCGCAGGAGGGUGAGAGAAUUCACCAGAGCCAGAGCGGGGAGCAGAGCAGGCAGAAGCACCGAAGCACACUGCUGAGGGGAGCAGCGGGCGGCA